Long non-coding RNA from Homo sapiens (human), 8960 nucleotides. RefSeq lists it as uncharacterized. The transcript has 4 exons. Lineage: Eukaryota; Metazoa; Chordata; Mammalia; Primates; Hominidae. The record is from RefSeq and is a predicted model, not a curated record.
AGAGCCAUAUAAAACUAAGGAGAAACCAUUUUAGGAUGAGGGAACAAACCCUGAAGGUGUGAACAAGCUCGGUGCAUCUAGACAUGUAAGGAAGGUUCCAGCAUGUGAAGGAGCGAGGACGGAGAAGGGUCCGGUGAGGUCUUACAGCAACAGAGGGUCCAGCCACAUGAGGCUGAGCAGCCAAGUGAUCUGCCUAGGCCAGCUCCCCUUCAUCUUCUGCCAUGAGUGGAAGCAGCCUGAGGCCCUCACCAGAAGCAGAUGUUGGCACUAUGCUUCUUAGACAGCCUGCAAAACUCUGGGAAAGCGGAAAUCUGGAGAACUAAAAUAUCUUGCUGAAGAUCACAAUGCAGUAAAGCAUAGGGCAAGUUUCCAACUCGAACAUCACCCCAGAACACUUCCUUUUAAACAUAAAUUAUGUUGCUAACUUUUUUAUUGUUACUUAGCAGGCAGAUUUCAAACUGAUACAAAUGUUGAAAAUGAUACAAAAUGUUUUCCCACCUUAAAGGCAUUCUGAAACCUAGCACAUAACAUCUGUCACUGAAGUCCAUAGUUUCCAAUGCCAUGAUUGGAUAAAGACCCUAUUGAGACUCAUGUGUUUGUCUCUCACUGCUUAAAACACUCAUGUGUUUUAAGCAACAUGACAAGCACAAAAGAGAACAAGUACUGCUCCUGCUCUCCAGGAAGUUACCAUAAAAUAAAGGGGAUAAGGUGCCUUCCAAAGAAAAAACAAAUACUAGGAGAGGUCAGAGGAGAAGAGAGAUUAUUCCAGAAGGAGAGACUGAGGCAGAUUUCAGGAGGGAAGAAUAUAAGAGUCCCAAAAGAAGAAACAGGAACCCAGGUUAGAGAGCAAUGGGCAAGGGGUAGGAGGUGAGACUAAACUCACAAGGAAGUUGCUUCAAAACAAUAGUGCCCCAAAUGCCAAGCUGAUGGGUUGGACCCAUUUAGGAAAAACCCACAAAGUCCACAGGAGAGCAGACUGCACUUCCAUGAGCUUCAAGCUGUAAACAGUAACCUCAAAUAAAACUUUUCCCGGAUCGGUAAUUUCCAUCCUGAACAAUGGCCAAGUCAAGGAAGCUGAGGAUCGAGCCCCCUACCGCAUGCCACAAAGAACCUCAAGGGACCCCAUGCUCUGGGGAGCUCGCAGGAGGACCAGCACAGAGGUGUGACUGCGUUGGGGCAGGGUGGCCACAUGUACAAUGUUGUACCUUCCAAUGUUCCUCCUUAGGCUGUGCUUAUGAAGUCCCAACAUGUCUUCUGGGCUGUGUUUUCAACCAAGAGAGUUAAUAAAAAGUGGGAUGGGCACCAACUAUGCCUCCAGAGACAUCAGGCAGAAUAUGCCACAGCGUGCCAUGUCCUCCUGCAAACAGUCAGAAAGAAAAGAUCUCUAAAAGCAGAUUGGAAGAGACUAUAUAUACAGAGCGAGUGCCGGUACAGAAGUUUUGCUGCAAAUACACCCUCUAAUCCCUUGCAACCCACUGCAAGCUCGAGAGACCAGUGCCCUUGGUAAAACAUAGGAGAGAUCAUUAAUUAAAGCCUAGGCCCUUUCUUUGAUCCUGAGGGAUAAGGCUUGGGAAAAUGCACAGUGAUAAAAGUGAACAUUUUAAAAGAGCAGAGUGAGUGUGAAUUCCCAAAGAGACCAUUCAUAUCAAGACCCAAGCCAUGAGAAAAUGCUACAAUGCCCUUGAUCAAUACUUUAUAGGCAUUUUGACCUCAGAUCUAAUCCCAUGAGGCUUAGACCAAGACCUUGCUUGAUGCAGACCUCUCUGACUGCUGAAAUUGGUCAGGAGCUCAGUGAUGAAAAUUUGGAAAGUCAAUGCUGAUACCUGAAGAAAGUCCCAUCAGAGAUCUGUGACCUGAAUCUUCAUAACUUUCACAGGCCCUUUCUAAAUGCCAAGGAGGAUGUGUGUGGAGAAGAAUAUGCCACCUAUGGCAUCCCAAUAUGCCUGUGCCCGCCUGCUCUUCAACAAGGGAAUGAAACCUGGGUAUUCUCAUAGGUUUUUUAAAGCACUUGUCCACAUAUUUUAUUCCGCAAAUAACACAAUUUAAAAUUCAGCUAGAAUUUGCCAUUUUCUGUCAGGGUUGUGCAUUUCUUCCAGUCACCAUGACUUCCUGAGAUAGCCAAAACACAAAAUUUAAAUUGUGUUUAAAUUAAAUAAACACAAUUUAUGCUGAAGCUGACUUUACCCACUCUGUUCCAACAUUACUUAUCCUCAGCAUCUCUGAAUUCAAAUAUCAGCCAGGUGUGGUGGCUCAUACCUGUAAGCCCAGCACUUUGGCAAGCCAAGAUGGGAAGGUUGCUUGAGGAGUUGGAGACCAGCCUGGGCAACAUAGCAAGACCCCCAUCUCUACAAAAAAAUUAAAAAAUUAGCCAGGCAUGGUGGUAUGCACCUUUAGUCCUAGCUACUUGGGAGGCUGAGGUGAGAAGAUCACUUGAGCCCAGGAGCUUGAGGUGGCAGUGAGUCAUGAUCAUACCACUGCACUGUAGCCUGAGCAACAGAGCAAGACCCCAUCCCUUAAAAAAAAUACCUGCCCUCUGUACUUCAUAGCACCUGGGGCAUUUUGAACAGUUCUUCCUUCACCUGAGGUCAUUAUUUGAGAAUCCAAUUUUAGAGACUACAAUGCUCUCAUUACUUGGAUUGUAUCAUUUAAUCUUCCCAACAAUCCAGGAAGGGGAGUCUCUUAAUGAUUGUCCUUGAUUUCCAGUUAAAAAAUCUAGACCCAGAGGUAACCUUGUGAAGGUCACAGAGUUUCAGAGUUCUAAGAUCCCAUGCGAGAUUGCUGAACUUGAACUUGUUUCUUCUGAUCUCAUGUCAAUAAGUGACUUAGUCAACACCUGGGUAGAAAUCAUCACUAAAGUGAGAAAGCACAUGGUGAGGGGGAUGAAUCCUGUGCCCACAUGGUCCCUUUCACCUGCCCAAUCCUCAGGCCUCUCACCUGGGGUACCCCUCACACACAUGGCACUUUCCUGAACUCAUGGACAUUUCAGUUUGUAACGAUCCUCCUAAGAUUAUCUACUUUCACCUAUCCACAUUUGAACUAUACUUCUUUAGUGGAAAAAAAGAAAUAAAGCCAGUGCUGAGAAUGAUCAAACUCCAGAAAUAGUAGACUGCUGUAUAAUUUGUCUUGCGUGACACCAGAUCUUUCAAGGAACUGCAAGCUCAAGUGCACAGUUAAGCAAGAUCAAGAUCUACCUUUGUCUUUCAGAGCCUUCCCUUGGCGAGGUCAAGGAUAUCUGCUGUGAGCCUGGGCUGGCUGAACCAAAGGGCAAUGGAGGCGGCCAAGAAGCCCCAGCCAACUGCUCCCCUCCCCAACCCCCUUCUCCCUGGAGGUCCCUUCAGCUAGAAUUUGCCAUUUUCUGUCAGGGUUGUGCAUUUCUUCCAGUCACCAUGACUUCCUGAGAUAGCCAAAAGCAUUUGCUGUGAGCAGAGCCCCAUGGCUGGCUUUGCACAUCAAACAUUUCAGACAGCCAUAUAUUUCAUAGAAUACAAGGGGAAGAUAACACUGGACACACAGAACUUUCCAACAGCUUGAGAAAAUGUGGUGCCUGGUGACUGACUAAAUAUACAAUCGGACAACAGCCAGGCCAUAGCAAAAGAUGGAACUCUGAUCCACAAGGUGCAGCAACUUUCCCAGAAAACAAUACCCUUACCCACAAAAAGCAACCCCGGAAGCUGGCCUGCUCUAAAUCAGACCUGCUGGAAGCCAAAUUGCUCUCUAGUAACUAUCCAGGAAGCUAAAUAAUAACUUCUGUAACAAUUGACUCAAAAUGUUCAGGACUGGAUUAAUAACUGAUGGCUUCCCUAAUUUUUGUCCCCGAUUCCAACUUAGGACCCACCAGAGAAAGCCAAAUAUGGUCCCCUGACCAAGCACACAGGAUGUUCGCUUCUAGUGAGCCGCCUCCAGCUUCCCCGCAUUGAUAACCUCCAAUCAGGGCACACCUGAAGCCUUCGCCUUUUUCCACUAUAAAGCUCUCCCACUCGUCUGCCCACCUUUGAGUCUCUGCCAAAUUGCAAAUGAUGGUGUCUGACUCCCUUGCUGUAGCAAGCUCUGCAUAAUAGCUUGUGCUUAUUCUCUUUGGGUAGGUCUUCAUUUCUUUUCACACCAGAUAGGCAUCAUCUUUGAAAACAUCUUUACUGGGUCUCUUGUCUCCCUCCUGCAGCCACUGAUCUAAAUCACAGACUUUUUUAGAAAGAGGGAAAAUAGUAAAGAAAGAAAGCGAUUGAGUUGAUGCUCCCAGCCACUGUCUGUACCCUGAAUUUUGUUUUUCUGCCAUAUGUCAGGUGGCCUCUCCUGGACCAUCGUCACUGUUUCUCCUGCUUCCCUGCAGCUGCAGACACAGGAGCACUGUGUAGGUCUGGCCUUGAGCACCCACCCACCCAGUACAGAGCCAGCCCCUGCUGUUCUGAAUCAGUGCAGUGACCACUUAGAACACAGUGCCCAUGCCUCUGUGAUCUGAACUGCUCUUUCCAGUUCCAUACAAUGUUAAGAACCCACUUAAGAAUGUUUUAAUCAUUCAGUAGUUUUUCGUGGUAUAUAAUAAAAAAGUGAUUUAAAUACAAUCUAUUUUAUUUUAGAUUAUAUCAUUAGGGGUUAUUUUACAAAGUUACCUUUAAAUACUAUUGUAAAUAAAAUUAAUAACAAAUAAGCAAAAUUCUUACUUUUCCUUGUUUGACAAUUGACAUGGUCAAUUUAAUUUCCUUUAAAUUAAUUAUGCAAGAAAAGGAUAUUUCCUCAAGAAAAUUUAAAAUGAUAUAUAUUUCUUGGUUGGGUGCCAAAUAUUCAUUCAGAAGAAGACGGAAAUUUAAAUCCUUGUUUCUAAUUUAAGGAAAAAACUACUUUCAUUAUUGGAUGUGUGAAAUUCACCCAUUUUGUGUUUAUCUAGAAAAUCUAGUUUAUUGUCCAAAUGUUCUUAUUUUCCCCAAAAGCAUCAGUUAGGAGAGAAGAUUUCCAGCUGCCAUUAAAAUACAAUUGUGUGCAAUGAAUACAUUUUGGGUAUAGAUAGUUUUUAUUCUCUAUAAAUGAAAUGCCAAAUUGGAUAGAACCAUCCUUUUUUUUUUUUUUUCAAAAAAAAAAGGCUUUUGGAGUAUCAGAGACAUCCUCUUAUGUUAUUUUAAAAUAAAUAAUUAUUUGAGCUGUUUGCUUCUUGGAAGCAGAUAACAAGGGGGCAGGUGAGAUAAAAAAAAAAUAUAUCCAAACUGAGGUGAGACCAAAGAUGGCCAAUCUAAGAACCAGGCAGAUGUCUCUGCCUGUCCUGGGAAGAUUCCCUCACCAGGCUCCCUCACUGGCCAGAGGAGCCCACUUGUUGGGCUGCCAACUGGUUCCUAUAAAUUCUAAGGCAAUUAGAAUCAUGUGGUGACUGUAACGGGAAUGACACAGCUGCCCAGGCAUUAGAAGGAAACCACACCCAAUGGCUCAAGCCAGUGGCGAGAGAUAAAAACUGAGAGACAUCUCCCCUGACUAGCAGACUGGGCUCCCUGCUUCCCCAUUGCUUCCUUUAAACAGGCCAUUCACACAUUUGCCUGAAAACUUACAGUGGCCCAGACCCUACUCCCUAUACACACUGCCAGUUGCCAUGUGCCUUGUUUCUCUCUCUCUGCAUGAUGCUUCAUUCCUAUCUGGAGUGGCCCAGGGACAAAGGACUGCCCUCCCGACUCUCUGUGCCCUCCCUGCCCAGGAUCCGUAAAUUACACUUUUUGAAUUUGUUUCCUACUGUGGUGUAUAUUGCCUUUGCACCUUCCAUCUGAAGACCAGGGGAUGCCCCAGGCCAGGUUUUACCUGGGAUGCCCAAGAGAGCACAAGGUUUGGCUCCCAGCGCCAGAGCAAUGGGCAGGGGGGCAUAAACUGAACACAGGAAAGGCAAGAGCCACAAAGACAUAUAAACAAGUUUCCCAGGCGAGGAGCCCCUGGUCACAGGUCAGACAACUAGGCAUUGGGCCAUCUACCAGGUAAAAGCAGCAUCCUAUGAAAGGCACGCAGUAAAUACCAUGUCCAUCUCCCCUUCAUUUCCCCUUAGGGCGGUUUGCUAGCUGUUCUGGGACUGGAACCUCAGUUUAGCUGGGGGCUCUCAGAACAGACAGCUAGAUGAAUUAAACAAUGAAGUCUCUCAGCCUUAGGCACAUCUUCCAGGACAAGGGGAAGGCCAGGGGAGAGUAACAUCAGUGAUCCUACAAGAUGUGCUUCCAGGCCAAGGCCAGGUUGCAGUUGCAGCUACUUAGCCAUGGUACACGGUGGGCCUGGAGCUUCUGGGUGUGCAAAGAUGUGACUCAAGAGUCCAUCUGCCAGCAGUGAGCAGGGCAGGCCAGCUCUCCUCUCACUGGUACGGUGGUUCCAGCCCUCACAGGACAUUAAAACCACCUGGAAACUGUUUAUGAAGGUUCCUAUAUUCAGGAAAAAUCCCUAGAGAUUCUGACCGAAGGAAUUUGGUGCUGCCUGGGUACCAGUAUUUUUAAAUUUCCCCAGAUGAUCCUAACAUGCAGUCUGAGUGAAAAACCCAAGUUUGACGGCUACAGGAAUUUAGAGCUUCUCUAAAACAUACAGGGAAUAAUACCAGGGCCAUACAUUGGAAGUCCUUCCAUUGGGAAUGCAAAGAAAAAAGAAAAAGAUGGCCAACAUCUACCAUUUUAAAGGGAUUCCAGCAAGCAUAUUAUUAAAUGCAGGGCUGCCUCUGGCAUCUGGAAGCAGCUUGGGUGCCCUGGAUAUAAUUCUCUUUUAAAAGUUUUUUUCACAGCUUUUAUAGACCACUUAAAACUGGCCUUCAUCUUGUGCCAAAAUAGCAGGGCUGUGUUUGUUUAGCUUCAAGAUUUUCAGGUCCAAUUGAUUAAAAAAGGUGAGUGAGAAGCCUGCCAACACACAGUGAGGCUGUCACCCAGGCAGCUGCUGCUGCUGGCUUCCAGCAUCCAGAAGCUGGAACAUCAGCCAGCUCCAAUCACCUGACAGAGGAUGGAUCCUAUGAGAAGGAGGACCGGGGCUUAAAACCAGACGUACCCACUGAAGUCAGGGCAGGAGAUGAAAAUCUUAACAAGUGAAGGAGGUAUGAAAACAACAGAUUCUAGGGAUCAGCAACCAAUGAAUGAGGGUCCAUUUUUUGAAAAACAAAUACUUCUACUGGCUGUCUUUUGAGUGCCAGGCAUUAAACAAAGUGGAAGAAAAAAAUUGGAGGGUGACUCAACAGAUGGACCAGAUCAAUAAUGAGGGGUAAUUUGAGCAGGACAAGGCUGGAGCUGGAAGUGCAUGCAGGAUGCCAGCAUCAGAGCAGCCAGGCAUCAGAGAGCCAGCCUUGACUACUCGCCGGGCCUCAGGGGCUGAGCCUUCGUCCCAGGACAAGGGAGUGGCCAGAGCUUGGCUGGCCCCGUUCCAGAUGAGGACUGUGAUACCAGUCAGGUCAACGAGCACCGAUAGAGGUAGGGCCCAAUAUAGGACCGUGUCUCACAAUGGUGCAGACCCGCAGUCCAACACACAGGAAGGAUGCUUGUUGCUAAGUCUUAGACACGGGAACUGGAGGAGGGUUGAGGGCCCCCAGCAGUGGGAAGGCAGGCAUGGCAUGCAGACGGUGGACGCGGACUCAAGACACCAACUCUCAUCACUACAGGUCCGUGGUUUGGAAAGUCCCAGCACCAUUCCAGAGAAGGAAACAGGCCCAGGUUUCUGAUGGGGAUGGGUAGUAGCCACAGAGCACAAGUCAGCCGCACCCACCACACACUUGCUGUAGUGCCACACUCUCGGCCCUAGAGGGCACUGACGCUUUCCCUUCGCUCUGCCCCAGGGCCAGGGCCAAAGCCAUCAAGUCCUGGGCAGAGGGCGGGAGCGUUCAGUGAGAGCAGCACAGAGGUUAAAGAGCUGCUCUUUUUUGAGAUCUUCGCUCUCACUUCCUUUCCAGGCAGCCAGUUCAGCAAGGUGGGUCUGGGGCUGCCUCCUGGGAGAAGAGGCCUUUCACCCUCGAACCCUGCAGGACCUCAGUUUGUCCCAGGGCAAACCUCCUACAUUGGGCAGUUAGGUCAGACCUGCUUCAGGCCUUGGAAGACUGUCUUCUCCUUGGCUUCUCUUACUGCACUGGAUCCAGCCAGGACACUGAUCAGACCUCCAGGGCCCAGGUUAACAAUAUGUGGCCCAGCUCUGGGAGAGAAGCCAGCAGGUCUCCCAGGCUUUUGAACUCGGAGCUGAAAACCAAACAAAAAAACGAAUCCACCCCAUUGACAAGUGGCCCAGCCUAGUUGGCCAGUCAGGAGACUGCACAGGCACUGAGGCCAAAGCUGCCUUGGAUUAAGAGGUAUGGAUGCCACCGCUGCCCUUUUACUACAGGUACACUGGCCGGGAACCUGUAGCACUGAGUGACACCUGAUCAGAGAGUCACCCACUGGCUGGGUCUCCCCCAACUCAGAUGCAUGGCUAACAAUCACUAGCUAAGCAUGUAUUCACUCUGUGGAAAGCCACGUCACGUUCAUAUAUUUAUUAUCUCAUGUAUUAAUAUACUGAUGUACCACAUUAUUCUAAUUUACUACCUCACUUAAUUCUUACAACAACCUAAUGUGAUGGGCAAUAUUAUUAUUAGCUCCAUUUUACAGAUGAAGAAACAAGACCUGAAAAGGUUAAACAACUUGCCCAAGAUCAUCCAGCCAAGUCAUGAUAAAGCUGCACUUGAACACACACUUCUCAGAUUCCAAAGCCCAAGUUUCUCUCUACUAACUGUAUGGCCCCUGCACUCAAAAACUGAGAAAUCUCUCUGCCCUGGUGAGUUUCUUCCUCUACGUCAGUAUGCAUAGAGCUCAGGGCUGUACUUUCCUUCACUAGUGAUAUGGUUUGGAUCUGUGUCCCCAUCCAAGUCUCAUGUUGCAAUGUAAUCCUCAGUGCUGGAGGUGGGGCCCGGUGGAAGGUGAUUGGAUCAUAGGGGCAGUUUCUCAUUAAUGAUUUAGCACCAGUGGAAGGUGAUUGGAUCAUAGGGGCAGUUUCUCAUUAAUGAUUUA